CUCACGGGCUUCUCUCCGCCCCAUUCCCUCUCGGCCACGCCCACCACGGCCCACUGGCCAGGGAGCCGCUACGCAGAUGUUUUCGCCUCUGCGGGUGUAGGCUCCGGGUCGGGCUUCCGGGUCCCUUUCCUGGCUCUGGCGCCUUCCAGCUGUGUGACCGGGCGAGGCCCUGAGCCUCUUGAGGGUUCAGUGCCCUCCUCCGUACAAUGGGCCAACAACAGCCCCUUCCCUGGGGAUCUCGGUGAGGGUUGGUUGCUCUGCAGGGUGCCCUGGGCCUGUGCCAGCGCGCUCAGGCAUCCUGGUGACCAACCACAGCUGGCACUGGUGAACGCAGCCUCUUAGCCCAGGCAGGCUCUGGUCAGCCUCACCUGCUGGGACCGCUGAGUGGUCCAAGAGCUGGCUUGGCUGACUGGGACCUGGGCCUCAGCUUCCCCAUCUGUGCAGGGGGCCGCUGGUGAUACCGGUCCCUGCCAUGCCCUGGUGGAGAUAUGGCCCAGUGAGACUUCGUGAGGGGUCUAGGCCACUGCUGUCACGUGGUCCUCCUGCUCCACCACAGGCCAUCUCCCUGGGCCUCAUCCAGACAGCUGGACACUGAGCACAGCUCUGUUGUCCUCUUCCCUGGGCUGAGUGGACUCAGAGGUGCUGGGGACUGCAUGGCCGCCGGACGAGGCGGGGGCUUUCCAACCCAACACCACCGAGCCUGCCUCUUCCUGCCCUGGAUGCUAUGUCUUCCAUAGAGCCGCUUUUCCAACACAGCAGGUAUGAAGUAUCCACCGGCCAUCUGAAAAUAAUGCAGUAACUAAGAAAAACAGUGGCGAGAGGAAGGAGUGUCGAUGCCCCAAAUGGAUCAUCUUCCAGAGCACGUCUACACCGAGAUCAAGAAUGAAAAGGUCUGGGCAAGAGGCCCCGCCGCGUUCCCUUAAUUCUCAGGUCUUUGGAGUGAAUGCCUAAGGCCUCCAAGCCCCGGGUCUCCUCUGUAUCAGGCGCUCACGCUGUGGGAGCUGCUUUCUCUCUGCUCCACUUCUACAGAGAAAGAAAAUCACAAGCAUUUCCCACACUUCCCCCAAGCCUUGACGUAUCACAGUUCACUCAUGGAGUUGUCAACAGACACAGGCACACACAGACCAGACUGUGGGCUCGGGAGGCGGGAACAAACCCCUCCUUCAGGAGACCUGGCAGCAGGCCAGGGGGCGCCCCAGGGCCCACCCAGCGCAGGGGCAGGCAGCCGCUCCCUCCUGCCCCUCGCCUGCUCCAGCUGUGGGCACUGGGGGCUGCCCCUGGC
Molecule: long non-coding RNA, 1282 nt
Filed under: Homo sapiens (human)
Lineage: Eukaryota; Metazoa; Chordata; Mammalia; Primates; Hominidae
Description: HSALNT0402413
Source: RNAcentral